This 320-nucleotide ribosomal RNA is filed under the name uncultured Prevotella sp. Its description in RNAcentral is "partial 16S ribosomal RNA". The record is from RNAcentral. Lineage: Bacteria; Pseudomonadati; Bacteroidota; Bacteroidia; Bacteroidales; Prevotellaceae.
GGAGUCUGGUCCGUGUCUCAGUACCAGUGUGGGGGACCUUCCUCUCAGAACCCCUACUGAUCGUAGCCUUGGUGGGCCGUUACCCCGCCAACAAGCUAAUCAGACGCAUCCCCAUCCCAUACCGACGAGUCUUUGUUCCUCAUAAGAUGCCCAACAAGGAAAACAUAGAGUAUUAAUCCGACUUUCGCCGGGCUAUCCUCUGGUAGGGGGAAGGUUGGAUACGCGUUACUCACCCGUGCGCCGGUCGCCAUCAAAGUCAGCAAGCUGACUCCAUGUUGCCCCUCGACUUGCAUGUGUUAAGCCUGUAGCUAGCGUUCAUC